CCAGACUCCUACGGGAGGCAGCAGUGAGGAAUAUUGGUCAAUGGGCGAGAGCCUGAACCAGCCAAGUCGCGUGAGGGAUGACUGCCCUAUGGGUUGUAAACCUCUUUUGUAUGGGGGGAAUAAGCUUUACGAGUAGAGUGAUGACAGUACCAUACGAAUAAGCAUCGGCUAACUCCGUGCCAGCAGCCGCGGUAAUACGUAGGUGGCAAGCGUUAUCCGGAUUUACUGGGUGUAAAGGGCGUGUAGGCGGGGAAGCAAGUCAGAUGUGAAAACCACGGGCUCAACCUGUGGCCUGCAUUUGAAACUGUUUUUCUUGAGUACUGGAGAGGCAGACGGAAUUCCUAGUGUAGCGGUGAAAUGCGUAGAUAUUAGGAGGAACACCAGUGGCGAAGGCGGUCUGCUGGACAGCAACUGACGCUGAGGCGCGAAAGCGUGGGGAGCAAACAGGAUUAGAUACCCCUGUA
RNAcentral lists this ribosomal RNA (464 nucleotides) under uncultured bacterium. RNAcentral describes it as "bacterial SSU rRNA". It matches the Rfam family "Bacterial small subunit ribosomal RNA", at positions 331 to 792 of the family's 1533-position model. The record is from RNAcentral.